UACGGAGGGUGCAAGCGUUGUUCGGAUUUACUGGGCGUAAAGCGCGCGCAGGUGGGUGUACAAGUCGGAAGUGAAAUCCCAGGGCUCAACCCUGGGGCUGCUCCCGAAACUGUACGCCUAGGGACUGGUAGAGGCUGGUAGAAUUCCCGGUGUAGCGGUGGAAUGCGUAGAGAUCGGGAAGAAUACCCGUGGCGAAGGCGGCCAGCUGGGCCAGAUCCGACACUGAGGCGCGAAAGCGUGGGGAGCAAACAGG
Molecule: ribosomal RNA, 253 nt
Filed under: uncultured bacterium
Lineage: Bacteria
Description: partial 16S ribosomal RNA
Rfam family: Bacterial small subunit ribosomal RNA
Source: RNAcentral